UACGAAGGGGGCUAGCGUUGCUCGGAAUCACUGGGCGUAAAGCGCACGUAGGCGGAUUGUUAAGUCGGGGGUGAAAUCCUGGAGCUCAACUCCAGAACUGCCUUUGAUACUGGCGAUCUCGAGUCCGGGAGAGGUGAGUGGAACUGCGAGUGUAGAGGUGAAAUUCGUAGAUAUUCGCAAGAACACCAGUGGCGAAGGCGGCUCACUGGCCCGGUACUGACGCUGAGGUGCGAAAGCGUGGGGAGCAAACAGG
This 253-nucleotide ribosomal RNA is filed under the name uncultured bacterium. Its description in RNAcentral is "partial 16S ribosomal RNA". It matches the Rfam family "Bacterial small subunit ribosomal RNA", at positions 524 to 776 of the family's 1533-position model. The record is from RNAcentral.